AACGCUAGCUACAGGCUUAACACAUGCAAGUCGAGGGGCAGCAUUGGAGUACCAAUACUUCAGAUGGCGACCGGCGCACGGGUGAGUAACACGUAUCCAACCUGCCGCUUACUCGGGGAUAGCCUUUCGAAAGAAAGAUUAAUACCCGAUGGUAUAAAGAGUUCGCAUGUUCUCUUUAUUAAAGAAUUUCGGUAAGCGAUGGGGAUGCGUUCCAUUAGAUAGUUGGCGGGGUAACGGCCCACCAAGUCUACGAUGGAUAGGGGUUCUGAGAGGAAGGUCCCCCACAUUGGAACUGAGACACGGUCCAAACUCCUACGGGAGGCAGCAGUGAGGAAUAUUGGUCAAUGGACGCGAGUCUGAACCAGCCAAGUAGCGUGAAGGAUGACUGCCCUAUGGGUUGUAAACUUCUUUUAUAAGGGAAUAAAGUGAGGGACGUGUCCCUUUUUGUAUGUACCUUAUGAAUAAGGAUCGGCUAACUCCGUGCCAGCAGCCGCGGUAAUACGGAGGAUCCAAGCGUUAUCCGGAUUUAUUGGGUUUAAAGGGAGCGUAGGUUGACAUAUAAGUCAGCUGUGAAAGUUUACGGCUCAACCGUGAAAUUGCAGUUGAUACUGUAUGUCUUGAGUGUAUAAGAGGUGGGCGGAAUUCGUGGUGUAGCGGUGAAAUGCUUAGAUAUCACGAAGAACUCCGAUUG
Molecule: ribosomal RNA, 691 nt
Filed under: uncultured bacterium
Lineage: Bacteria
Description: bacterial SSU rRNA
Rfam family: Bacterial small subunit ribosomal RNA
Source: RNAcentral